RNAcentral lists this ribosomal RNA (461 nucleotides) under uncultured bacterium. RNAcentral describes it as "partial 16S ribosomal RNA". It matches the Rfam family "Bacterial small subunit ribosomal RNA", at positions 338 to 795 of the family's 1533-position model. The record is from RNAcentral.
CCUACGGGGGGCUGCAGUGAGGAAUAUUGGGCAAUGGGCGCGAGCCUGAACCAGCCAAGUCGCGUGAGGGAUGACGGUCCUACGGAUGGUAAACCUCGUUUGCCGGGGAGCAAGCGUGCGUUCGUGAACGCGCGUCGAGAGUACCCGGAGAAAAAGCAUCGGCCAACUCCGUGCCAGCAGCCGCGGUAAUACGUAGGUGGCAAGCGUUAUUCGGAUGUACUGGGUGUAAAGGGCGUGUAGGCGGGACUGCAAGUCAGAUGUGAAAACCAUGGGCUCAACCCAUUGCCUGCAUUUGAAACUGGAGUUCUUGAGUGUAGGAGAGGAAGGCGGAAUUCCGUGUGUAGCGGUGAAAUGCGUAGAUAUACGGAGGAACACCAGUGGCGAAGGCGACCUGCUGGACAAUAACUGACGCUGAGGCGCGAAAGCGUGGGGAGCAAACAGGAUUAGAUACCCCUGUAGUC